Molecule: ribosomal RNA, 625 nt
Filed under: Salmonella enterica
Lineage: Bacteria; Pseudomonadati; Pseudomonadota; Gammaproteobacteria; Enterobacterales; Enterobacteriaceae
Description: partial 23S ribosomal RNA
Rfam family: Bacterial large subunit ribosomal RNA
Source: RNAcentral
GGUUAAGCGACUAAGCGUACACGGUGGAUGCCCUGGCAGUCAGAGGCGAUGAAGGGCGUGCUAAUCUGCGAUAAGCGCCGGUAAGGUGAUAUGAACCGUUAUAACCGGCGAUACCCGAAUGGGGAAACCCAGUGUGACUCGUCACACUAUCAUUAACUGAAUCCAUAGGUUAAUGAGGCGAACCGGGGGAACUGAAACAUCUAAGUACCCCGAGGAAAAGAAAUCAACCGAGAUUCCCCCAGUAGCGGCGAGCGAACGGGGAGGAGCCCAGAGCCUGAAUCAGCAUGUGUGUUAGUGGAAGCGUCUGGAAAGGCGCGCGAUACAGGGUGACAGCCCCGUACACAAAAGCGCAUGUGCUGUGAGCUCGAUGAGUAGGGCGGGACACGUGGUAUCCUGUCUGAAUAUGGGGGGACCAUCCUCCAAGGCUAAAUACUCCUGACUGACCGAUAGUGAACCAGUACCGUGAGGGAAAGGCGAAAAGAACCCCGGCGAGGGGAGUGAAAAAGAACCUGAAACCGUGUACGUACAAGCAGUGGGAGCACCCUUUGGGGUGUGACUGCGUACCUUUUGUAUAAUGGGUCAGCGACUUAUAUUCUGUAGCAAGGUUAACCGUAUAGGGGAGCCG